AUGUCUUUGGAAACAAUUGAACGGGCUUUAGCAGAAUUUUACUGCAAUCAAAAUAUAGAAGUUCAUAAAAUGUUGUUAGAAUUUCAAAAUUCUGUAGAUGCCUGGAAUCUCGUGUGGAAUAUGUUAGAUACAUCAAAACCACACGAGAUACAAUUUUUUGGUGCCACUACUCUUCAUAUUAAAAUUACUAAACAAUGGUUACAAUUGAAACAAUCAGAUUAUAUGCUUCUUAGAGAUAAAAUAAUGGACACACUUAUAAAAUACUAUAAUUCAACGGGACCAUCAAAUGUAACAAACAAAUUAUGUUAUUGUCUGUGUGCUUAUGUAGUUCGAACAGUACCAAAUCAUUGGCCAGAUGCUAUUCCACAAUUAAUGGAAACAUUUAGAAAUUCGUUAUCUCAAUCAUCAAUAAAUGUCAGUGUUAUGAUUUUAGAAAUUUUAAUGGCAUUACCUGAAGAGUUUGGUGCUACAACAUUAACUAAUACACGUCGAAACGAAGUGCGGAGUGAAUUAGAAAAAUCUUCAUUACAAGUAUUAUCUAUCGUGGAAAGUAUUCUUCAGAGCGACAGCUUGGAUCCAAUUGUGAUACAUGCUUUAAAAUGCGGUGCUUCUUGGUUAGAUAUAGGUUUUGAUCUAAUAAAAUGUCAUCGUCUGACUGAUACAUUUAUAUCUGUUAUUUUAAACUCUGAAAGAAGUCAAGAAUGUAUUCUAUUGGCUAUUGAUGCUUUAAAGUCAUUAUGUACACAUCCUCGAACAUCUGUAUGUGAAGCAACUGUUUUUGAAGUUUUAAGCAAAGUUAUCAUACUUUCUGAUAAAUUAUUUCAUUUAGAAAUAACGAAAGAACCAAAUGUUGUAGUAGAUAAACUUUUUGAUCUCUUUUUGGGAAUUGGUGAUCAACACUUUCGUCCAAUAGUACAAGGUCUCCUAAAUGAUAAUACUAGACAGUUGUGUACAAAAUUUUUCAAUUUAUAUUUAACUUGUACAAAUGCACCUGGAUAUUAUCCUGUAAAUGAAAACUAUAGCGAAAAAACAUUUACAUUUUGGUUUUUAUUACAAGAUGAUUUGUUAUCAAAUUAUGCUGGACCAGAUAAUGCAUUAUUAACUAUUGUUAAACCGUUGUAUAUAUCUUUAACUCAAGUAUUAUUAAAAAAAGUUGCUUAUCCAGAUAAUUUAGAAUCAUGGACUCCAGAUGAAAGAGAAUUGUUUCGGUGUUAUAGACAAGACAUAUCAGACACUUUUACUUACUGUUACUUUAUCUUACAGUCUGAAAUGUUAGAUGUAUUGUUAACAAUUUAUAAACAAGUUACCUGUGAUGCAAAAACUGCGAUUACUCAGUGGCAAACUGUAGAAGCAUGUUUAUAUGCUUUUACUGCAAUAGCAGAACCACUUCAAAAUCAAGAUUCACACCCUCAUAUAGAACAGCUUAUGUCAUCUUUAGGCUCUUUACCUUAUGAACAAUUAGAUAAAAAAGCUGCAGUUGCAGCUAUGGAUACUAUAGGAGCAUAUUAUUAUUGGAUGGAAACACAUCCAACCUAUUUAAAUUUGAUUGUACCUCUUCUCAUGAUGGGCCUACACAAUAGCAAUAUGUUUUCUUCUGCCUCUAUUGCUCUUAGAGAUAUUGCUAAAGAAUGCAAACAAACCAUAGCACCUUAUAAUGAUGUUAUAUUAAAUACAGCAAUGGUUGCAUUGAAACAAGUUAACAAGCUUAAAGAAGAACUUCGUCUAAUAUAUACUAUAGGAGUUAUUUUAUCAGCUAUGCCAUUUCCAAAAUGCAAACCAUCUUUAGAUAUGUUCAUUGAUCCUAGCUUAGAUGUUAUGAGGAAUAUAUUAAAUAUUGAGGACAAUGCUGAAUGUAAUAAACAUAGACCUGAGUUACAAAAAAGGAUUAAAGUUCUUGGUUCAUUGGUAUCAGCAAUUGACCAAAAAAAUACUGUUUACCAUAUAAUAGAAAUAACUACUCCUCUGCUUCAAAUGAUGGCAACAAAAUGUUUCAUUGCUUGUCCUGAAGAUAUAUUAUAUACUGGAGUUUGUGAGUUCUUAAAAACUGUGGUAUCUAAACUGCAAGAAGACUGUUCAAUGGCAUUAAGCAUAAUUAUUGAAAUUCUUAUGAUUGGAUUUAGAAAAUCUCCACAACCAGCUGGAAUUUUGCUUUUUAAAGAAAUUAUAAUAAUGUUUGGACGACAAGAAAGAUUUAUUCCACUUAUUAAAUCUACAUAUGAAGAAAUGUGUAUGAGAAUUAAAUUUAUGUUUGAACAAAUACCUGCAGCUGAUCAUGUUGGUCUUGGAGAUGUAAUGGAAUCUUAUUUAUCUCUUCAAGGACACAUAUUUAGAAAAUCGCAGUCAUUAAUUAUAGAUAAUACAAAUGUAGAUUUUGCAUUUGUUUUUAAAAUAGCAUGUGAAGCUUUAUGUGCUAACGAGAUAUUUUUGGCAAAAACUGCUACAUUUUUUUUAACUGCAUUUAUUACUAUUAGCAGAGAAAACAGACCAUUGUUUAAAGUUAUUGAAGAUAACGGCCAAUUCCUAGUUUUGAAAAUAAUAUGUAUUAUUAAAGGUGAUACAGUUAAAUCAAAUUUAGAUACAAUGUGUGAAGUUUUAUUGGUAUUGAACAAAAAAUAUAGUGAUAAUUUACGUGUAUGGUUUCAUGAUAUAAUAGUAGUACAGAAUAUAUUAUUGCCAAAUGUAACCGAAAAUAUGAAAUCUAAAUUUUUCAAAAGAGUACUUAGGGAAAAAACCAAUAGAAAAGCUUUACAAGAUGCAGUGAAAGAGUUUUCUUUUAUAUGUAGAGGAUUAAUUGAAGUAGAUCCCUACACUGAAUCAUGAAAAAAAUAAACAUAUUUUGUAUAAAAAAGGAUCAGAUUUUGAAUAUCUUGAUCAGUUGGCACAGGUGGAGGAUGUAUAUAACGAGAGCUACUGAACAUAGUUGAAAUAUCUUCAUCAUCACUGUCAACUUCUUCAAAAGCCUAAAAAAAAAAAAAUUUUCCAUAGCUAAUAAAAGACCAUCUUCUUCAUCCAUGUAUCCAUAGUAAUCUGCGUCUAUAUUUUUCAUAAGUUCAGCCCUAGUACGACGAGGCGGUGGAGGAGGUUCGUGUUCAAAAAGUUCUCUCACACCAGCCGCCUUCAAAUCUGUACAUUCAGUAGCCAAGUAUGGUCGUCGUUCUUCCUUGCCACCAUGUUCCUUCACUUGAGCUGCUCUCCAACGAGCCAGUGUAGUCCUGUAAAUUAUUAAAAGUACAAUAAAUUAUAAAUAUUUGUAAAUAUUCCAACUAGUCUUAAUAUGUGUUUACACAAAAUAGAUUUAACUAUUUUUCUGUGAUCUAUUAAUUUAAAUUAAUAUUAAAUAACUCAACAAAGAGUAAUUCUACUAA
This 3365-nucleotide unclassified non-coding RNA is filed under the name Sipha flava (yellow sugarcane aphid). RNAcentral's name for it is "importin-13, transcript variant X4". The record is from RNAcentral. Lineage: Eukaryota; Metazoa; Arthropoda; Insecta; Hemiptera; Aphididae.